AUACGUAGGGGGCAAGCGUUAUCCGGAUUUAUUGGGUUUAAAGGGAGCGUAGGCGGGAGCUUAAGUCAGCGGUUAAAUGGUGCGGCUCAACCGUGCCCUGCCGUUGAAACUGGGUUUCUUGAGAGUGCAAGAGGCGGAUGGAAUUCAUGGUGUAGCGGUGAAAUGCUUAGAUAUCAUGAAGAACUCCGAUUGCGAAGGCAGUCCGCUGGGGCACGUCUGACGCUGAUGCUCGAAGGUGCGGGAAUCAAACAGGAUUAGAUACCCUGGUAGUCCGCACGGUAAACGAUGAUUACCCGCUGCCGGCGGUAGACAGUCGGCGGCCAAGCGAAAGCGAUAAGUAAUCCACCUGGGGAGUACGCCGGCAACGGUGAAACUCAAAUGAAUUGACGGGG
This 392-nucleotide ribosomal RNA is filed under the name uncultured bacterium. Its description in RNAcentral is "partial 16S ribosomal RNA". It matches the Rfam family "Bacterial small subunit ribosomal RNA", at positions 523 to 918 of the family's 1533-position model. The record is from RNAcentral.